This 38288-nucleotide long non-coding RNA is filed under the name Sorghum bicolor (sorghum). Its description in RNAcentral is "long non-coding RNA (SBIC_LNC007603)". The record is from RNAcentral. Lineage: Eukaryota; Viridiplantae; Streptophyta; Magnoliopsida; Poales; Poaceae.
UAUAUAUGAUCGAUAGACGACCGAUCACACGUACUCUCAUCAGAAAAUUAAAAGGUUUAAAAAGAAAAGGACAUGCAUAUACUACACAUGCAUGCACAAGCAGAUUAUGUGUAAUAACCUAACCCAUGCAUGCAUGCAGAUUAUGCAGAGCAACAACGAACGACGACAUACACACAUAUAUAGUAUGAGCGAUCAAAUUAGAGCAAAUCAUAAUGCUCAUGCAUUUUAAUAAAAUUAAGCGGGGCAGGUGAAGUCCGCGGGGCAGAUCUUGCCGCAGUGGUUGAGGAGGAGGGUCAGGUCGACGGGCACGUUGAGGUUGAUGCCCAGGAUGUUGGCCUUGAUGGCGGUGCAGAGGCAGACGGCGGCGUCUAGGUCCACCAGGCCUUCCAGCAGCGGACAGCACUGGUCGUUCUUCGGGGGGAUGCUGAGCUUCAGUAGGUUCAGCACGUUGGCACACACCUCCAGCUUCAGCGCGUUCAUCGGGCACGACCCGCCGCCACCGCCAGAAGGCGGCGAUGGUGGCGGCACCACCGGCGGAGUAGGACAGUACGGCGUGCAGCCAUGCACCAGGGCCAGGACAGUGGAGAGGAUGGUCAGGGCCAGGAACAGGGAAAUAAGCUUGGAUGCCAUUGCUACCGAUCAGAGAGCUAGCUAGUAGCUAUAGCUCUUCAAUCAAAGGGAUUAAGUGUUUCUUUUGAUCGAGCUAGGUGUGUGUUUGGGAUGGCUCUCUUCGGUGGUAUUUAUAGACCAAUUGAGCGAGCAAGUGUGUGGGCGUGCGUGUGAACAUGUGUGUAGUUUGAUAAGGGAGCAAGUGUACGUGUUUUGGAUGCAUGUGAUGUGUGAUGCGAACCCUACAUACGUGUCUACCUGGCUCCUUGCAUUUUUUCUGCAAAUUGCAUGCACGAUUAAUUCAUUAAUUAUAUAUAUGUACAGCUUUUAGCUAGCUGGAGACGACUGGAACAACAAGGAAUUGUUGCCUUAGCUUGUGUCCACUUUUCUUUUUUACAAUGAAAAAGGGCCAAAGUGCCUAAUGGCUAGAAAAAAAGGGAAUGUUGACAAAAGAAAACAUAGUGGGAGAGAUAAAAUAAGGAUAUCAAAGGGUGGAAGCCAAUGAGAGAUGAAUCAAAGAAAGCAAGUUGCCACUAAACAAAAGAAGCAAAUGAAAGUAUAGAGUGAACUAGAUCGAGGACUGCGCUCCUCCUCCCCCCGCUGACGGCCUCCCUGGCCAUCGCCGGUCUUCAACUCCGCUGUUGGUGGGCUCCUUAGCUUGUUCCCUGCUCCCGUUUCGCUCCAUGGCGGGGCUCCUCGCUUGGGGCGCAUCAUGGAGUCGAUUGCUCCCCUAAGGGGGAUGUGACUAGCUCUGGUUGCUCUGUUCACCAGACAUGUGAUCCUUGUUAUUGUGGUCUUCCUGUCGCUUACAAGGUGUGUUCUUGACUCUGCCCCUCGAAUGGAGUUCCCUAGCCUUUCUUUUGAUCCUAGUUUAAAGCUUCAAGAUGAAAUUUGGUAUAAACUUGGGGUUCAUGUCAUUCAUUAUGUGCUGGAUCACGCCUCCUUUCACCUUGUGGUCGCUUUUGGUCGUUGCAAGUUACAUCUUUUCGAAUAAUCUAUUAGGUCCUUGCUGCCGGUCGCCAUUGGUAGCAUCGCUAAGCAGUUCUGUGUGUCCCAACUUGGAGAUCGUACUUUCAAAUUUGUUGUCUCUACCAAAUUGGUUGGCUUCUUUAUCGCCAACCUUUGUUCCUUGACUCGUUCAAGGUCUUCUUCCUCUAGGCUAAUGGAGGUCCCAAUUGGUGCUUUGAGUACAAUCGUUUCUUACUCAAAGAAGCUAGUUUUUUAUCUUCUUCCUCCUCUAAAUCAGGGCGUAGAUCUUUUGUUGAUGUCGUUAAGUCAACAAUUCUCUUUGGUGCUAAUUAAUAUCGUUCCCAUGGGCUCUCACUGUCAUCCUGUCGUCCCUGCUUCUAGUGCCAACACCAUUCCCUUGGGCCUGCAUCAUCGCUCCUCCAUCUCGACAACAAGGCAAUCGGUGCAUGAUCGCCUUAUCUUCCAGAGGGUUGCCGCCCACUCCGCUUCGUUCAGUGAGUUCAACCCCUAGGCAAAACUCUGCAAUCGCUUCCUCUCCUCCUCUCAUUGGCAUGUCAACUGUACGGUGCCUAUCUGGUGCCGCGCUUGCCAAAAGCAAGGUCAAAUUGCCACCUUCUAUCAUUAAUUCAAAUCCCAUGCGAGAUAGUAGUAUCCUUCAAAGGCCAAUGAGGAAAAGACUGCUACUCAAGGACCUGCACUGCCUGGCCUCUUUUCCACUACUCAACCAUCCACGCUUGGCUCACUAGUCUUUAAAUAGUUUGGGGAGAUGGCUCGUGCUUUUGGGACCUGAGUUGGUUAUUGCACCUGAGUUAAUUGUGCCUUGGGGACUGUGCCUUGGGGCUUGAGGCCCAAUACUGUUUGUCAGCCCGAGUCAGACUCUACCUUAUAUGAUGAGUUGGACUCGAUCAUAGGCAACUCUCGAACUCUUCGUCUUCCUACUAUUCGCACCGGUGCAUGGCAACUGUGGUGAGCGAAGAAAGCCCUCCUCCUCCUCCUCCCCUCCUAGCAAUCCACCAGCUCAACUCUGUUGCUCCGAUGGUGUUUCAGCGUGUUGAUCUAGAGCCCUUCAUUCUAGAACACUUGCAGUACGAAGACAUCCCCAACAGAGAGUUUAUGGAGUAUGCAGUGGCCCCAGCCCAAAACCCUUUGUUGUUCCUUGCCAUUUUAAUUAAAUAAUUGUUUUGCUCAUAAUUGACUUGUUAAAUAAUAAAUAAAACUAGUUUAUUUAGUUAACCAAUUAGUAAAUGCAUGUGGUUAAGUCAUGUAAUGACCUUUGCUUACUCCCAUUGUUGAACUUGUGUAAUGGUUAGUUAAACAUCAUGUCUUACUUGACUAGUAUAAGAUAAUGAGUGUUGUUCUCAUAAUAUCCACCUAAUCAUCUUGUAUAUAUAAUUAUUAAAGAUGCUUUAAUUAUUAGUUUCUUAGUAUGAUCAUGAGUUAAGAUGCAUGUUAAUCUUGUAGGUCUAUGAUUAGUACUAACUUGUGGUUAAUAAUUAGAAUACUUUGUGAAGUGUGACUUUAGUUAUACUGCUAAGGAAAGUUGUACUCAACUGUCUUAGCUUGUUUACUUUAUGUAAUGUACUUGUACGUCUUCCAUCAUGCAUCAUGGCAUACAUUCCAUCAUGUUAAAUAAGCAUCAUUUAUUUAUGUGUAGUACAUACGAGAGUGAGAAGAUUCAUGUUGAUCAAGUUUUGGAGAAGGUUCAUCCACCAAUGGUGUUGGUACCAAAUGCCACCUGGACAUGUCAUCUUGGCAAUUAGUGCAAUUAUUUUGGUCUUGAAAUGUGAUCUGGACAUGUUAUAUUGGCAUAUAUACAUGUAUAGUGUCAUUAUUUUGGUCUUGAGAUAUGAUCUGGACUUGUCAUAUUGGCAUAUAGUGUCGUUAUUUUGGUCUAAUGUGAUUUGCGCAUGUAAACCAUUCUAGAUGUGAUCAGGGCAUGUGAACCAUUCUAUGUAUAUAUAUGAUGCUUAAAUAUGACUCUGACCUCUAAUCUAUUGCUUCCUACAGGAUGCAUGCUUGCAAAAUGUGCUCCAAAUCAUUACAAAAUAGAUUAUGUCAUUUUGUCGUUUCAAAAUGUAUCUUCCCAUUAAUCAUGUCCAUAUAUAUAAAAGACUACUGGAUUGUAGUGUCAUUCAUACCAAGGGAAAAUAUGUCUUACACUCAUACACACACCGUUAGUCUCAGUUAACAGAAUGGGGUACAGACUCAAAAAAAUGUGGGCAAACGUACAAAGUCCGAAAAAGAGGGACAAAUGAGCAGUUAGAUGUCAAACUGAGGACAGAAAUGCAAUUCGCCCAUAUAAUUAACUUGUAUAUAACCAACUAAAUUUUCAAAUAUCAUAAUAAGCGCAUACGAGUUCAGGUUCAAGAUGCCAUAUGAAGAUAUUGAUCUGAUUUAAUUCUGCGAUCUAAAUUCGAAAAACUGCUACGAACUAGCCCAAUUUCUUAUUCGAAUUUAUUUUCUACCAGGCGAGGCGCGCGUUAGCUGACUGUUCAGUACUGAAGCUUUACCGGGAAACGAGGGUUUAUGAACUGACCAAAGCUGAUGUAUGAACUAGUUCUUCUCAUGUCGACCUAGACCAUCCAUCAUGCCUUCGUUUCGUCCCGGUCCUAGCUGUCGAACUCCGCGUCACGGACCUCGAGAAGGUAUUCUGGGAGGAGGACGUGCAAUAUACAUUAGCAACACCAACCAAUCUAAAUCAUGAGGAUGUUUUAGCUUGGCAUUUUGACAAUAAAGCUCCACUGCCUGGACAGCUCGAGAUCAAUUCAGAUGGAUCAUUUAUCUAGGAGACGUUGCAAGGGAGCUGGGGGCUUCAUUAUCCGUGACCAUGAGGGCGACGGGGUACUUGCAGGAGCUGGUCGCCCUGGAUCAAUCCCAGAUGCGUGGACAGCAGAGGCAGCAGUAUGUGCUCAGGCAUUGCAAGCAGCUACAGAUUAUGGUAUAUCGCACGUAUAAGUAGAGGUGGACUCAGCAACGAGAUGACUGACGGAUCGUACGCCAACGAGAGUGGAGCGUCAGCAUCUUCACACAAGGCGAACUGGCGAAGGUAAACCAAUGGAGGUCACCAAUGGCGGCUGCGUUCUUGGCCCUUUUUUUCUUUAUGGAAAAAAUUAGCCCCAGCUAUAUAUAUGUUGAAUGGUCUCUUGGGCUGUAGCUCCGGACGCCACGCACACGUCUAGCCCAUCUGAACAAAUUCUUGUAGCUCUCGAUCGGCCCAAAUAUAACUAUCUUCCACAAAUGAUGCGUAAAGAUGAUCCCAUCUCGAUACAUGCCUUCAAAGCAAACAAGCAACCGUAAAAUGCGAAGAAUUGCUUUGACCAUCCGCAAGAGAUCCAUGUUCCGUCCUAGUGUACAAUGCAAAAAAAGAAAAAAAAUGUUAGUAUUAGUAUAUGCUCGUUGAACAGAACCUGCAACAAAGCGGCUUUUUUUUUUAGAGUUCAAGGCCAUAUAAGCCCCGGCCUUUCGAUUAGAAUAAAAAAACCUAGAGUCAUUACAGCACUGAGUUUAAACCGUAGUGAUCAUCCACCAGGACUAGAUCACUGAAAACAAGAACAAACUACAAAUCCAACAAAAAAAAUAACUAAAACAAAACAGCUGGUGUAACAGCAGCCGAUCUUCAGGCAAGGUUGAGAGAUAUGUUCAGCGAGCUCCACCAAGGAAGUUUUAGAUUGCCCAUCAGGUCUUCAUGUUCCUGAUCACCCUAGGUCACUCCUCUAUGAAACUUGUGAUGUUUAGUCACCCAUAAGGAAGCUACAUAGUAUUGCUCACCUUUGCUUUGAUCUCUCUUGUCGGGGGGCAGAGAAUUCGCCAAUUUAGUAGGAGCAUUUACAUGCUUCUCCAACUAAUUUUCUUAAAACAAAGAUAAUUUCUAAGUUUCCAGAUACACCAGAUCACAGCAUAGAUGAUUGUAUUGACAAGGCAGUGUUUUUUAUUACUUAGACAGAACUUCCCUAUUUCCAUGAUAUUAUCUCCUACUUUACAACCAAGAAUGUUUACAUAAGAUCCCAACACCACCUUGCCACUACACAAUCAAAGAAAACAUGUUGUAUUGUUUCCUUUUCCAGACAAAAAAGACAAUUCUCAUCUUCUACUUUUCUUCUCUUAGCUAGGUUAUCCCUAGUCAAAGCUCUUAAUAACCAACCAAAGGAAAAAAAAAGGACUCUAGGAGGGAUUUUGGCACCAAAUAGCCGACUACUGGAACAAACCCUCUAAAAUUGAUUAUCUUAUAUAUUACCAAACCAUCUCAUCAGCCUCAUUAGAAAACUGCAUUGUAGCUACUAAUGAUGAUAUCGAGCCAAAGAUUAAUAGAGAUCAAGAGAAAACGCUCUUUCUAAAAGUACAUUUCAGAUUAACCCAUACCAAAGGUUAACUAGAGUUUUCCCUUUCUCAUUAACUAUCCUAUAUAGCGGUCAAAAUUGGAUAGCUAAGCUAGACGAACCUAGCCAAUUGUCCUCCUAGAACCUAAUAUUCCAGCCAUUCCCUACUUUCCACUUGUAACCCAUCUCGGCAACUUGAGUUGCAUACAUAAAUCCUUUAAAAAACUAGAAGCCCCACAGCUCUAGUUGAGAAGAUGUUAGGAUUUUCAAUCCCAUACUUAUGGUCUAUCAGCUCUUUCUAGAGCUUAUCUCUAUUUACCUGAUACCUCUUCAACCACUAUGCCAGAAAUGCUAAUUAGUGGCGCGUCCAGAGGAUCAUUAGUGACGCUGAAAAAACACGUCACUUUUGUUACGUCUCUGAUGUGAAGACAUUAGUGACGUGUAAAAACAUGUCACUGAUGUGAACAAACAACGACACGUAUUGAGAAAACAUGUCACUGAUGUGAAAUAGCUGUGAUGUGACGCGUAUUUAAAAACGCAUCACUGGUAUGAAAUAGUUGUGACGCAUAUUGAGAAAAAAUGUCACUGAUGCGAAAUAGUUGCGACGUGUACUGAGAAAACUGGUCACUGAUGACCCUACAUUAAUGACGCGUAUAGCUAAAACGCGUCUCUGAUAAAGAUUUGCAAAAACAAAAAAAAGAUACCUAGAUCAGUGUACAGUUCUGAAACCUAUGUUUCACAAUAUGGUAUAUUUCAUAGCAGUACAUAGAUUUCACACUUCACAAUAAGUUCUCACGAUCAGAAUACAUAGGGAGGCGACCACGAGCGCGAUGAGCAUCGUGGAUGGGGAAGGAGGUGGCCACGGGCGGAGCAUAGUCAGGAGAGAGAUGGUUCUGGAUGGAGGAUCGGGAGGAGACAGCGCUAGUCAGAUCUAGACGAGGGAGACAGAGUCGGCUACAUCUAGGAUGAGGAGCGGCGGCGGAGGAGAUGAGAUCAAGAGAGAGAGAGAGAGAGAGGAAGUGAGAGAGACCCGGGACUGGGAGAGGAGAGAGGUUCGGGGCCCUGGGUGGGUGUGGACGUGAGUUUAUUCAGGCCCUAGAGAAGACGAGAUCACGAGAUCACGAGAGAGAGAGAGAGAGAGAGAGAGAGAGGAAGAUCACCUCAAGAUCAAAAAAAUUUCAAGAUUUCUCGUUACAUUGAAUCUUGCAGUAUAUGUAUGGAAUAUUAAUAUAGAUAAAAAAUAACUAAUUGCACAGUUUGUGUGUAAUUUGCGAGACUAAUCUUUUGAACCUAGUUAGUCCAUGGUUGAACAAUAAUUGCCAAAUAAAACAAAAGUGCUACAAUACCCAAAAAAAUUUCACCUCCUCAACUAAACAAGGCCUCACCUAAUUUUAUAAUUUUUUUAGGUCCAAGGUCCUAUAUCAGUGCGGGGGUUUUGGUUGUUUUCAUUUUUCAUGUCCGGAGGACGUGCGCAGGCAACGAUUCCCUAGCCAAACAACUAAUCGUCUUGUUAAUUUUCUGGCCAGGUAAUCAGUGCACGGCUCAAUAUGAAGAGUCAUACCACAAUAUGAUUAACGCGCGUGGACAUUACGUGUCACUUUUAAUACUAGUGACGUGUUUUGUUGGGACGAGUCACUAAUAUCUCUCAUUAUUAGUGACGCGUCUACGUAAAACUCGUCACUUUUGCUACCAGUGACACGUUUUGUUGGGAAGAGUCACUAAUACAACCACAUAUUUGUGACGCGCUUAGUUAAAACGCGUCACUUCUGACGCGUUUUCUUGAGAAAAGUCACGGAUACCUUCUCGUUAGUGACGCGUCUUGUUCCUAGGACAUGGGCAAAAACUUAGCAGCGACGCGCUUCGUUCAGCUGCGUCACUAAUAUACUUAUUAGUGACGUGUUUUAGUCCUGAGUCACUAUUGAGGUGUCUCCUUUGUGCUUAGUGAACCAAGAAGCUAACAAACUAAUGUUAAGAUCUCUAAGGUUAGGUAGGCCCAAACCCCCCUCUCUUUACUCAUAGACACUAGCUCCCAAUUAGCUAGGUGAUACUUAUGAUUAUCCACAGAAUCAUUCCAGAGGUAGUUUCUCAUAUGAGUAUCAAUGAACUUGAUUGCCCAUUUGGGGAAUUUGAUAAAGGAUAGAAGGUAGACAGGAAUACUUGCUAAGCAUGACUUGAUUAACAUAGCUCUAGCAGCUAAGGAAAUAAGUCUCCCCAUCCACCCUGCUAUCUUCUUUAGAAUCUUGUCUACCAAAGGUUGGACAUCUUCUCUACUCAGAUUGUCAUAAUGUAGGGGUAAACCUAGAUACUUAAUCGUGAAGGAUCCUAGAGGGCAAGAGAAAAAAUGUGCUAGUCUAUGAGCUUCACUGUCCUCCAAAUUUAAAGGCACUAGCUCACUUUUAUGAAAGUUGAUUCUCAUACCAGAAAUCUGUUCAUAGCAUAUUAAAACACACUUCAAAUUUCUUAAGGCUGAAUCCCCGGUCUUAUAAAACACAAUAGUGUCAUCAAAACUACUACACCACCGGGUCUGAAAUCCUCUAAGAGACCUCUCACAAGAUUUUUUACCUAUUUCCUUACUUAACAUCUUUGACAACCCAUCUCCAACUAGAUUAAAUAAGAAAGGAGAUAGGGGAUCUCCUCGUCUAAGACCUUUGCCAGUCUUGAAAUAAGAAUUGUCUUCCGCAAUUAUCAUGAUCCCAAUAGAACCCCUACAACAAUCUGCCUAAUCCAGUUAGGGGAUGCUUAGUUCCCCAUAAAAUGCAAAAUGCAAAAUCCUGAAACUUGAAUGGUGGAAUACAAAAUGCCAAAAUUUUUCAGGGGGUGUUUAGUUCCAUCCAUACCAAAAUGCCAAAAAGUAAAAAGCUUGUUUUGUCCUCAUUAAUUGGCACCCAUGCAUUGCAUGCAAACAUGCUGCACGCGCUGCAUGCUGGCAGAAGCUUUGCAGCAAACAAUACAAGCGUUGUCUGCUGCUUGCUCGCGAUUGUGCAACCGGAAGUGAACAAGCACGGGCGGGUGCAGGUGGGGUAGCGAAGGAGCUGCUUUCUGGCCUUUUUUGGGCUGCUGAGGCCAAAAUCCAGAAUGCAAAAUGGUUGCCAUUUUGCCAAAUUUUUUGAGUGGUGUUUAGUUCUAUUAUGGAAAAUAGUGGGCCAAAAUCCAGAAAUUUUUGGCCCAAAUGGGGAACUAAACACCCCCUUAAUCAAUUUAGCAUCAAAGUUCCUAGACUAACAUCUCAAACAAAAAAAAAGUCCAGCUCACCCUAUCAUAUGCCUUUUCAUAAUCUAAUUUGAGAACAACUCCUUUCUCUCGAGAUUUAUUGACACUAUGAACAAUUUCAUGUGCUACAACUACGCUUUCAAGAAUAUAUCUACCUUUAAUGAAGGCAGAUUGAGUCGUAGCCACCAUUCUUUGAACUAAACUGGUCAGCCUAAGGGUGAGAAUUUUUGAGAAAAAUUGAAAGCAGCCUCACUUUAACCUUCCAUGGUAACACAUGGACGACAGAACCAAGCUUAACCGGUAGAAGAGGGUUUCUUUACCAAGGAAGCAACUCAAAAGUCUGAACCGAAUCGAUUUUCACAAUUUCACUGCAAGAACUUCAGUUAAACGUCUCGACUUUACAUAACCCAGCAAGUGGGCCAUCAUCUCAGGGCACCUGGAUGAAUAGAUGGAUGGAUCCAUGGAUAUAUAUAUAUGUCUGCCGCACUUUAUACAUAUAUAUAAAGUUGGUCACUUCCUAGCAGCUACCUAGUUUCCAAAAUCAUCUCAGCAGCCACCAGCAACUUAAGGAUAGUCAUCUACCUUCUACUACUUAUAUAUACACAGCGCGCUUUCGUCAUCAUACUGUAUGCUAUGGAUCUCCAUCCGCGGGUUUCUCCUCCAGCAGCUUGGUGCUGCAGGAAUGCCCUUUGCUGCGGUUCAGUAUCGAUUCUCUAAUCUCUUUGUACUUGUUCAGCUCCUCCAGCGCAUCCGCCGCUGUCCUUGACCUCAGAAGAACGGAAGGCACCCCUGUAGAGCUUGAUGCACUGCUGCCAUGUUCCUCGGUCACUACCCUCUGGAGUGAAGGUUCUUGAGGAACCGGGGCACUAGGGCCUGGCAGUAGUAGCCUUUCCCUGAGGCCAGGGGCAUUCUGUAGGAUGCGCAUAAGAAUACCAAUUGCUGCAUCUGGAGACCUCGUUAAUGAGCCUCCUUCCUGAGAUGGUCCUUGGUCAUCCCUGUCAGAUAUGUCGAUCCUGGAAAAUAGAUGAAGCUCUACAUUAGCUUAUGUCAAAUCAAGAAGUGCAUGCAAAUUAACAAGCACCAAAAAAGUAAAAUGUCAAGAAGAGGUUGCAAAACUGAGGUUGCAAAACUAUUAGAAAUGUUUUGACUGAUCCCACUGUGACCUCACCCAAGAAUAUAAUGGCAAGUGCCUUCAAAAAAAAGAAUAUAAUGGCAAGUCCUGCACAGUCACUAUAUCUAUCCUUGUUAAGGGAUAAACCUGUUAGUGACAAGACUGACCACUAAGCCCCUUAUAUUUAUCUUUAUUAGAUUAACAUGAGACUCCAAUUAUGUCCAUAACUUUAGACCUCAGUAUGACAGGAUUAACCUGUGAUAAUAGAAUACGCUGUACAUUCUACAACCCUCUUGCUUAACUAAACAUCUUAAUUGCUGCUACUAGUAGUUAAUGUAUAGUAAUAUAAGAAACAAUAAGGGAUGUUUAUCUUGCACAAAAGAAACGCUAACUUUAGAUAAAUUAGCCCACUGCCUGCAAUUUGACCCACAAAUUUACAUUCAUAGUCACAGACCAAAAAUUAUAAGGAAUAUUAGGAAAGCUGCAAAGUGGCCACCAUGUGGCUGUGGUAGAAAUGAUAUCUAGCCCCUGUAUUGUGUAGUUCGAAAAAAAAAGGAUACUAAGAUUUUCAACUGUCAUUUCUAAUUUGUAAAUAACAAAGAGGCAGUAAGACUUCAGUCUGGAGCAUGCAAAUGACAUGGGUACUACAAGUCUAAAACUUCAGUCUGUAGUUUUUAAAUGACACAGGGGCACUAAGGCUUGAGUUUGUAGUUUGUAAAUGACACAAGGGUACUACUAAUAACUCUUCUGUGUAGUUUGUACUUUGUAUAAAUACCAUAGGACUACACAAGCAGUACAAGACUUUUUAGCCAAUAGGUUUAUCCACAAAUUCCCGUAUUACUUUAUCUACAAAACAUUGUUAUAGAAGGUGGCCAACACCCAGCUAACCUGCUUAGCACCCGCAAGCACAAUACCGUACUUUCCUCGUAGCCAACGUAGGUGCCCACUUUGCAGCAACUAGGCGUGCCCUAUCACCUACCACUGGUACUGAACUAUUGAACAUUUUCAUUUUUGUGGAUGUAAGUAACGGCAUGCAUGAUAUUUCUACUAAGAGAGCAUGUCUAGAUGUUGGAUGGUAAAUCCUAGUGACUAGUGAACAUCACUAAUUUCUUCCUAAAACUGCCUUGUUCCCCACUGGUACAACUGAUGCAUAGGCAAUACCAAAUUUAAGCAAAGAAAAGCCAGAUUCAAACCAAGGCUGAAACAGAGAUCAGCAGUAUAUAACCAGACUUGUUUUACUGGGAGUCUGGGACUGGGUUCUCCAUUUCCAGGGCUUGCUCUAUACCUGAACCUCAUAAUGCCUAACCCAUAUACACUUUUGUGUUCAGAACCAAGCUAACGACACCCAAAAGUACAUUGGUUUUUCCCAAAAGCUAUACAAGCUACCAACAAAUGUUUUUGUCUAUCCUCUGCCCUCCUGGAUGUCUAAGGGGUUCAGCUCCUCCCAUGUCCCAUGUAAUGUUUCUCACACGACACCCAAGCCUCUCCAGUCUCCAUGUUUUAGAAAUGUUUCUCAAUACAUUAAAAGAAUAUAUGGCAUAUUUCAUGCCUCUAUGUUUGCAAGGUCACACUUAAUCUAAAUGAUGAAAAGUAUUGCCGGAAAAAUUUAAUGCAACACAUAGUAAGCCCCAUCAGUCAACACAACAGAGACAACUGAGCAAGCACAAAAACUAAGGAACCACAGAAAGUAAUAGAAUAAAGGGAGAAAAGGUGAUAUCAUUACAUCUCCAGUAGGUGCUUCAUUUGAAGAACUGGACAACAACACUCUUUAUUUAUCUAGUAGAAGAGGAUGGUUUCAUUUGAAAUAAGGGCAAAACCCAAUCAUCAAAUGUCUAGUGAUAUAGAAAUGUCUGAACUAUAAAUGUUGCAGGCAACCAACAAGCUAACUUGAUAAUAGAGAGAAUAAUAGGUUCUCAAAAGUAAAUCACUCCAACAUAAAACCAUGAUUAGAAAAUGAAAUGCUUAUAAACAGAAACAAUAAUUAAAUCUAACCUAAUGUAUUCUUAACUAGUAUGAUGCACAGAACUAUUCUGACUCAUAAUAUAUAUAGAUACACCUAAUAGGCUAAUACAUAUGUUGCUUCCAACACCCAAACGAAUUCUGCAAAUAGACAAUGGUGCCCUUUUAGUGGGAAAAAAUACUUAUAGAAAGGGAAAAUUUGAUAACUGGACCAAAUACAAAAGCAGAUGGAUCUGAAUGAUCACUGAAACUACACUACAGUAUAGGCAAAAAGGUAGAGAAGCCCAAUCAAGCGACCUGAACUAAUUAAGAUGUUUCUUGUCAUCCCAAUGAAUGCCCUGCUUUCAAUUUAUCAUCUCAAGAAACUAAAACACAAAAAAUGCCAUUGCUCUAUAUCUGCUAGAUGAAAAUAAUCCAGUUUCCCCUAUAGAAAUGUAAAAUCCUAUAACAUGUUAUAUAAAUAUGAAGACUUCUGCUAACAUUAUUGCUUCAAAGGCCUUCUGAAAGCAAAGAUGGUUCAUGACAAAAUUACCUAAGCUAUGUACAUCAGUGGCCACCUGGUGAAUACAAUAACCAAUGUCAUAGCAUUCCCAGAGUAAAAGUAGUGUUAUGACCUACUAAACAAAAAUAUAUGACCUACUAACCAAAAAUAUAAGUUUUCAAACUUUAUCAGACACCUAGGUCAUUUAUUUACACAGAAAAAGCACAUGCAUUCAUGAGGAUAUGAAUGUAAGGGGAUCAAACAUAAACCAAAUGCAAUACAACAGCAGAACAGCAAUUGAAGUGAUGGGUAGCUACUAGGUUAGUCCUUUUGACCAAGGCAUCAUGGCAUAAUGUCAUGAACUACACAUAUUUUCAUCAAGUGAGACAGAAAAGAGAACCUUCUAAGCUGAUCAAUGAUGGUGUCUUUAUCUUCCCAUGCAAAAACUAACUCCCGUUCAUCCAGUUCAUCCAUGAUGAAAAGUUUACUGGAGGUACGAGUCAACUUUAGCCCACGAAAAUACACCAAAUCAUCAUUGCCAAAAGAUAAAACCUGCAGCAAGAAGCAGAACCAGAAAUUCAUAAGUCAGAAAUGAGAUCCAACCAUCCAAGAGAAGAACCUCAUAGUAAAAGAAAGAAUAGUAUUCCUCAAGGUUCACAUUUUGCUGGAGAAGAUCAACAAACAAACAUGUAAUUACCUUUUGCAAAGACUUCUCAUUCUGAAACUCACUAAGCUUGACCAAAUCCUUUGAUACUAUUGAUUUAUCAUUUGGAGAAUGUGUCAGAUUCUCAUUUUGAGAUGAGCAUUGUUGCUUAUCCUUCCUACGUGGAGAAGGAGGCAGCCUGCUACCACCUCCACCAGCCAUCGCUGUGGGAAUACUUAAAGGAGCACUCUCAUAUCGGAAGAAAGGAUUUCUUGGGUAGCUAGAAGGCGAAUGGGAUGGUGAUGGCGACAGAGGUGGUGAUGGAUAGCACUCUUCAUUUACUGUAUUUCUCUUCUUCCCAGACGAUGAUGUGUUAUGUGGAUGUGAGUAUGCUGUCGGAGAAUUAUCGGUCGGCAUACGUGGCUCUAGGCGUCCAUGGGGUUCUGAACUCAUCGGAAAUGGCGAUACCGAUGUUCUAACUCCAUGCCCGGUGCUCCAACUGUGCCGCCUGGUCACUGGAAAACAUGCAGGUGCAAUGCCAUCUGAAGGCAGGGAAUCGAGCUUCCUAAGAAAAUCUGUUGUGGGGCUUCCAACAUAAUCCUUUAUAAGCUCAGGUGGCACCGGUGUGGGUUGCUCUGGUACUGCAGCCAACUCCAGCACUGGCACAUACGAAACAGACAAGCUUAAGGAACCAAACAGAGUUUCAAUCGGAGCAAAUGCAUAGUGUUUCAUCUCUGCAUCCUCAGCGCGGGUGAAUGGCUCAACAAAUGAUGAAAUCUUGUGCGAGAGGCUCAGCGGACAGAUCCUUCCAGACGAAUUGAGCCCCUGGAAGAGAUGGUAUGCUGGCAAGAGCCUGACAACCAGGUACAAUGACCGGAACAACACUGUGGAGCCGCUGUAUGCCCUCCUGUACAAGCUAUGAUCCUGAGAAGAGCUGCUUCUAGCUUUCUUGCCACUGUUCUUGAUAGCAUUGCCAGACCUGCUAGUUUCAUACUUUAUUACCCACCUCUCAAUGAUCCUGCUGGCCCCGACACUGGCGGUUCUGGUAUUGUCACGUUGCACAAGGACAAUGUCAAUGACCAGAAGCUCGAGGUUGCUCUGCCUCCACAGGUCGAAAUUCUCGAGCGCAGCAGGGCAGUCCCGGAGAGCAAGGUUGAACCACCGGUCCCGCGGCUGGCUUCCAGCCAGCGGCGACGAUGGCGGGGAGGGCCGAGUGAAGUUCCGCGACGAAUCAUAGGGCGAGCGUGACUCCAGGAUGAUGUGCAGGCUCUUGGCGAAGAAUUCGGUGAUCACUUGCUCCACCAUCGGCGGUUCCGACACGCCGCCAGCAGCGGCGGCGGCGGCGGCAGCCAUGGCUGUGUGGCUGUCCAGACUUAAAACUCAAGGGCUCAAUUGAAGUCCCAAAACUCCUGAAAAACGAACUGCGCCAGCACCAUGGCUAAAUCGAUCUUGCUCCUCAACCGUAAAGAACAACCUAAUCGGGCUGCUGCAAGUGGAUGGAUGGACUGAAUCAGUAGCAGGGGCGGACCCAGUAAAGGACAUGGGUGUACACAUGUACACCCAAUAAUUUUUGCAAAGCAAUCGAAGUUAGUAGGCAUAUACACCUGUAAUUAGAUUCAGAUCGGAUUACAAAUAGUAUGUUAGGGUUUGGGCGCACGAUUUCUUUUACCUAUGAAUUACAUUAAGGUUUGGGCGCACGAUUUAGCACAGCAGGAAGGGAAGGGAGGACCAACCGACCAAGGGGAGGGAAUACCUAGUGUUCUGGUUGUGCUCGUCGCGGGGCAAACUGGCCAGUGGCGAAGUAGGACAGCAGCGACGGUCGCAGGGACACCGGGGGCGGCAGAGGGCGGACGUCGUGCCGGAGAUGGUCGCGAGGAUGCUGGGCCCCAGCCCCAGGUGGUGCUCGACUGAGCGCAGUCUCCUCCGGCCUCCGGGUUGCGGCGCGGCGCGGCGAGCGGAUGAGGAGAAUAGGCCGCGGCCGCGGGCGAGACGACUCCAGGCGGUGGGCCAAGGGGCGUGCGGGCAAGGGCAAUUUAGUCCAGCUUACCUUCUUGUGGCCAACUUCACGUGCGUCGGUCGUGCCGUCACAUUACAGAGAGAAAAGAUAGAAGGGAAAGAAGAUAUAAUUUAGGCUCUGUUGAAGAAAAAAAAGUUUUGUGUGUUACAUCCAAUGUGUUGGAAGGAUGUCAGAAGAAGUUUUAGAAACUAAUAAAAAACAAAUUACAUAGCUCGUCGGGAGACGACAAGACAAAUCUAUUAAGCAUAGGUGUCACAUCGGAUGUGUCGGAAGGAUGUCGGGAGAAGUUUUUAGAAACUCAAAUUACAUAGCUCGUCGGGAGACAACAUGACAAAUCUAUUAAGCAUAAUUAAUCUGUCAUUAGCACAUAUGGGUUACUGUAGCACGGCUAAUCAUAACUAACUAGGUUUAAAAGAUUCGUCUCGCAAUUUUCAACCAAAUUGUAUAAUUAGUUUAUUUUUUUAUCUACAUUUAAUAUUUCAUGCAUGUGUCCAAAGAUUCGAUGGGAUGGAUGGAAAUUUUUAGGUGGGGAACUAAGCAGGGUCUUAGAUUAAAAAUUAUGAAAUUUUGGAAAUGUGUGAAAUUAUAUUAAUAUGUUUUUAAUAUAUCCUAAAUAGUAAUGAUAUAUCUUUCCAAAUCGUGAUAUUUUAAAUGAUAUGUAUUUAAUUAUAACCUUAAAAAUGCUAUGUGGUAUACAUAGGUGAUCCACCUAGACAUUCUUCAAUGUCUUAUACAUCAACAUAUAUGAUUAUCUUAUUGAAUAAAUAAAAAUAAAAAAGUAUGGACUUAAUGUUAUAUAGAAAUAGAAAUGUUAGACCUAGUCCACCUUACAUAUUGCACCUUAUCUUCCUUAACAUAAGUCAACACUUCAUCUAACCUUAUCCAUCCACCCCUACAGUGUCUCCUCUUGUCCACGCCUCUCACCUGUCGACGCUGCCUCUAUCUCCUUCAGGCUACGAUUGUCGCCUAUGCAACCUCGUGCCCAUCGUCUCUGCCCAUCCUCCUCUCAUCAUCCGCUUGCUGCCUUCAGUUGCACCCAUAGCACGCCUUUCUUCUAGCCGAGUCUGCCGCUAGCCUCCUCCAGGAGGCGAUUAUCGCCUCUACUGCCACCUGUCGUCCCUUCCUCAAGCAACACGGCCUUGAAACUGGGGCACCCCGAUUAUUCUCCGUCCACCCCCUUAGGCAAGAUAGUGUCCCUUCGACUAGCGCAUAAGCAUGCCUAGGCGAGCACCCUAUGGAACAUUAGGACAAGCUCGACCACGAGGGGAGAAGAGGCAGCCGCCACCCUCUGCGAAUAGAUUGAGAGUAGGAAGAAUCGACUAAGGAGAAAGAAAACAGAAAGUAGAAAGACUAUAGGCCGAUAGAUGGAUCCACAUGUCAAGUGUGACAUCUCAUGUUUUUGUUAACAAAUUUCAGGAGCAUCAUGUGUAUCAAAGGAGUGACGUUGAUAUAAAAAAUAUAGGAGAUGAAGGAAGUACAAAACUUCUCACUAUGGUAGGAGGCCAAGAUGGCAAAACAUAAAAGAUUAAAUGCCAGUGCAAAAGAUAUCAAUGUAUAUUUUUGAAACUUUCUAGAUAAAUAUUGAGUAUACAUGAGACAUGUUUGUCAUGUUUCUUCGCAAAAACUAGGAUACUUUAGAUCUAGAUAUUCUUAUAUGAUAAAAAUAUCGAAGAAAUAUAUAAAUAUUAAAAUAUAUUUAAAAAUAUAUAUUUGUAAUAUCAUAGUAACCAUGAGCAGGUAUAAAUAGACGCGUCCAUUGAUGUGUUUCAUUCACAUCUAUAACAAACGACCAUAAAUAAUAGAGUCAUAAGGACAGCUUCAUUCAAGCCCCUACUUAAGAUCGCGUAUCAUUUUAAGAGCUCAAAUACAUGAAAAUCCUCUCAUACCGACCCUAUUCAUCCCUCAAUGGACGAGAACCUCUCACUUCUCUCUUCUAGAUUCUUAGAUGUAGGAUCUUUUUAUGUUUUUUUUAUUCCUCAUUUCUUUUUUCACGUAAAGUUGAACAAAGUUCAAUAUUAAGUAGGAGAAAUUUAAGAAGUCAGUUAAAGUGCACUAAAAAUAGGGGAUGUAAAUUCGAAAACUGUUAAUAAUGUCUUAUACAUUGUUGUUAAUAUUUAUUUAUUAUACAUAGUCAUAAGAUUUGUUAAAAAAUUAUGUACACUCAAUGUUACAAAACUGCGUCCGCCAUUGAUUAGUAGCACUCCAGAAAACAACCUGGUGUACUGGGUUCUCGUGGCCGGCAACGAAGACCUAGGCAGCUGGGCGGCCGCCGCCGCCCUAGUUAUCGUGCUCGCGCACCGCGAGGUGUAAUGGAGAAGAGAAACAACAAGCAGUUGGGAAAGGAAAUUCUUUUCGGGGGUUGUUCCUUGCUUCUCUGCGACGGCGCGCUACUGGGCCGAUUCCUCUUUCUCUUUCUGUAGGUGCACGCUCGUUCAUCCGAGAAAGAGGCCCAUGGAACUCGUUCAUGAGAGAAAGCGGCUCAUUAGAGCAUCUCCAACGGUUUGCCAUUCUAGUUUGGCAUUUGUGUUAUUUGGCAAAAAAGUAAAAAUUACUCCUCCAACGGUUUUGCAAAUGGGUUUGCCAUUUUAGUAAACUUGGCAUUUGAGAGGCUCCCCUUGGCAUAUUUUGGCAUAUUUGGGAGUUGGCUUUUGGAUUGGCAAAUGCUUGCGGCCGGUUUUCCUACGUCAAUUCCGUGCGCGGCCUGGUCUGUUUGGCGUCGUUUCCUUUGUCGGAGGGAGUCCUCGCGCCAAAUAGAGUCCGCGUCGCCAUUUGUUUGCCGCGACUCAAAGACGCAGAUCGAGUCUGCUACGUCGUCCCUCCCUGAACGUGAUUGAAAUACGCCGAUCGAGUCUGCUACUUCCACCAGGAACGUUAUGCAUCACAAGGAAGAUGAAGGCGACGACGAACACGAACCUACGACUGCGAGCGGCGACGCCUCCGUUCGCUCGAAGGGAAACAUGCACGAGGAAACACGCGCGUGUGACAGAAAGACACGCGCAAAGAUUUGGCUGGGUCCACUAGGUAAUUGCCAAGUCUAAAAUGUCAAACCAUUGGGGAUGACCAUAUUUUUUCCUUUGCAUUUGCAAUUGGGAGUUGGCAAACAAUAACAAAUGCCAAACCGAAAUUGCCAAACCAUUGGAGGUGCUCUUAUUCUUUCUCCGUUUCUUUUCCUUUUUUUUCUUUCUUUUUCUUAUAAUACAAAAUUUCCUAUUUUUAUUUUGCUCCCAACUGUAUCAUUGUUAUAACUUGUCACUAAUAGUUAUAUCUAUUUUUUUCAAAUCCACUAGUGAGGUUUUUUUCUCUUCUUCUGUCAAUAACCUAUUUUGUAAAUUGUUAUUGGGUCUUUUAACUUUAUGUUCUGGUUUGGUUUUAUAAUCUUUUUAUUUCACAUAAAUGAGCAUUUUUUUGUCCCAAAUAUGUAGCAUUUUUUUGUGAUGUUGGAACAGAUUUCCUCGUUAUGCUUAUGCUAGAAUAUUGUUUUCCUGAACAUGGAACGUUUUGGUUAUGAAGCUGGAAAAAAAUUCCUAUGAGGCAACAACAUUUUUCUAAUGAAGCUAGAAGAUAUUCUUCACGGAGCUGGAACAUGUUCUAUACUUUUUUUGCAGGAACAUCUUGUUUUUAAGGUAGCACAUUUUCCCGUGAAGGUAUAAUAUUUUUUUUCUAAUUUUAUUUUUAUCUCUUAUGUUAAGAUGACAACUAUAAAAAAAACCCAAUAUGAUAUGGCAAGCAAACACUAGAAAUAUACCCCAGUCUUUCAAUAACUUUAUUCUUUGACAUGCAGACCUUUAACAUGUUGGCAAUUCAUUCCAACAAAGUUUCCCUCAAAAUGAACUAGUGUCAAUGUUUUGUUCUAUCAACUAAUGAGUUAUAAAGAGUCAUGCCAUGUAGCUUAGAACAAUUCUUGUGGUUCCAGGAAUCCGGCUAUAGGCAAACCAGGAACGAGGAGCUCUCCCCUUUUUUACGUCCGACUUUUUGAUUUUAACUUAGACUGUUGGUUUUAAGAACGAGUGAUUGCCUUUGGCUCUUUGAUUGUAGUUAAAGACCACAUGUGUCAUUUCUUGUUGUUGCCAUCUAAAAUUGUGUAGAAAACCCUGCCGAUGGCGGGAGUCAAGAGAAACCAAACUUCCGACGCCUCCACAUAGGAAAAAGAGGUCUGGCUCCUUUCAGCUUCUAGCCAAGAUACAUUUUGUUCAACCCCGUUUGGUAGGAUUCUAGGUGAAGUCAGAGUAGAAAUCCCUUUGGGUGCCAUACCGAAGAGACCUUUGAUCUUUGCGUUUAGGUUUCUUUUCUAAAAAGAACUUAUAAAUUCAUCUUUGAUAUCAUUUUUCCUUUUCCAGAUAUAGCAAUGAGCGAGGUACAAAUAGUAUUGCGCCAAACGAUUAAUAAGGUUGAAAAUCAGACACUCAGCGACCUGCUGCCUCCUGCUAUCUUCCUUUGGCUGAUAAGGUGUUGAUGCAGCAGGACAGAACAAACCACAGAUGCCAGUGCCAGCAUGAGCUGACACGACAUGCCAGAUCGGCAGGGCCGUGAAGCCAAACUAGAAUAGGAUCAGGUUCGUUCUCUUUACAGUUCACUCGAAAUAUAGUUUUCCUCACAGAAAAGCUAAUUGAUAAUAUGUUUUCCCACAAAACAGCACGUAAAAGAGCAAGAUUGACACCAGAUUCACUCAUCAACUUAUCCAUGCACAGUCCAAAGAGACACACAUGCCAGCAAAGGAAAUUUGUUGUUUUAUUGCAAGAUCUACGAGCUCAGACACUUUCCAAAGGUGUCAAGGUAAUGCAAAUCCGAUUCACAAUGUCAGAAGUCGCUUAGCGUCAUCGUUUGUAACACUUCCAAAGUAGAAUCACAUUUAUCAUUUGAGCUUCUUAAAGAGCUUUGGUGCUACCUGCAGAUGCAUGUUUCAUAGAAAAAUUGGUUAUUCUACCUUGGCAAUGCUUUUUCCACAACUAAUUUUAACAAAUGGUAAACUGCAAGCUGCAAUCAAGUACUUACACAUUUGUCAAUGCAUGACCAGUAAUCAAAAUAUUGCCCAGUGCAGUGUUUGUGACCAGUCUCAUCACUCUCAACUCUCUUGACACAUUUCUGAAAACAUACAGUCACCAUUAAAGGUUGAACAAAAAUACUCGUGUGCCAGGCGUGCAUAUUAAAACAAAUGAAAUACUAUUAUCAUCCUAGGGUAAAAUAAAACUAUAUGUAGGCUAAUAUUCAAAAAUCAAAUUAUAGAAGUUUAUUAAUAAGAGUCUAUAACACCAAAUACAGGAAAUUGCAAUGAAGAUUUAUGUAAUUCAAAACCUCCAGCACAAGUUCUGCAUUCCUGAAUUCAAGAACUGUGAGAAAACUUAAAUUUGGCAAGCACCCCAAUAAUGUUAUGCAUGUCAAAAACAGGACCACAUAUCAACCUAUAUUGUUUGAAUCAGUCUACAGAGUACAGACUAAACAUUACAUUGGUUGAACAGCUAGCAAAAGUUGUUAUUCAGAGCAUCCCAUUGUUCCAUCACUUUUGACUUGAUCAGCAAAUCACUAGUAUGCGCGAGUGCAGCUAAAAGAUUCUUGGCACAACUCUCAGAAUGGCAUGACUGUGUUGUCCGACCAGGACAACAGGAGAUGUGGAUACAAGAACAUACUGAAAUAUCAGACCAAUACCACUAGACAAUAUUAGCUCCUGGUAUUUGCCACUAAGAAUAAGCCUAAUAUAAGGCAAAGCAAUGUUACUGCUUGCACAUCUCUGGGUAGUGGAACCAUAGCAUUGGUUAAAACUCAUAUGUUCACAUGGAUGAAUAGAGCAAAUAGGUUGUGCAUGAUCAGUUGAUCCCAUGAACAAAAAAAAACGUUGCCAGCUAAUUUGGUCAGGUAUACAAAGUGUGUUUCGAGUGUCGAUAAAAGCUUCAUCAUGAGAAACUAUUCUGCCAUUUGACUAACUGUAACCAGCUAUUUCUUGAACUUUCAUGAAGGAAAAUAAAUAGUACUCCCUCCGUUUCAAAUUAUCAGACAUUUUGGCUUUUCUAGACACAUUUCUUUUACUAUGUAUCCAAACAUAGUGCAUAUUUAAGUACAUAGCAAGAGCUACGUAUCUACAAAAGCCAAAACGUCUUACAAUUUAGAAUGGAGGGAGUAUCAUAUAGAAACCCUUGUAUCAACUGAAAAAGAAUAUGUUAAAUCAUUGGCCAACAAUGUGCUAAAUUUUGAGCUUCCAAUAAGAAAGAGAGGGCAGACCUCAUACUCAUAAAGCGAUUUUACACACUGUGGCUUGCAUCGUUCCUCAAGAUAUUUCUUCUGAUCAACAAGUUCCUCGUCCUCCCUGAGAUAGAGCAACAUUACAGAAGCAUUGAACUUGAGACAAGAGGGGGAAAAAAAAGGGGGGGCUAGCAAUGACCGGCCCUUGUGCUGUGAAUAACACUUCAGAGUUUGCAAUGUAGGAAUGUACUAAGUAAGCUCACUAACAUUGUGAUUUGCGAAAGAAAGGAUAUCUGCAGAUCCUGUCUGCAACAAGAUGCCUACCGUAAUCUUCUAGAAAAAGUUUGCCAAACAAAUCUCAGUUCUCAACUUAACAGCACGAAAAUGCUCAUAUAUAGAGCAGGGCAUGGCGUGAGGUAUAGUAGCAUUUUGGAGUCAGGCGGUGAAGAAAACAAAUGUACCGAUUCAUUCACCCUCCUACAAUAAAUACCUCAAGCAAAGCAAUAACCCCCAACAUAACAUGGGGCAGUUAAGCUAAUGUGCGACAAUCCUCUAACUAUGACGAAAUAGAACCAUAUUCCUAUGCAUGAAGAUAUGGGUUAGGUACCUCAAUGCUUACCUUACACUACGGUUGAGCGUGCUUGCUAGACGGCAGACGAGAUACAAUAAUUUGACCUACAUUUGGCCGGAUAAACAACUUCCCACCCACAAGCACAAGCCCAGGGUCAGAAAAGCCAAAGCUGUAAUCGAGCUGACACAGCCCACAGCUACGCACGAAAGCAAAAUCUAGCAAGUAAGCUACGCAUCUACCUUACUCUUAAGUCUUAACCCAUCGAGAGCAAAGGGUGAUGUUGCCCCUCUCGUGGCUGAAGCCGCGACCAAUCAGCCGAACACAGCCCCCAGCCAUCCAGCUCGCGGAAUCCUUAUGCGCAACGCAAGGCGUGGGUGUGCAUCCCUAACAGAGCGACGCAGCUGAAACCCGAAAGGAACAGGCGCGUCGCGAGAAGCAGCAGGGGAGCGGGAUUCCGAAGGUAAUGAAGAGCAGAGCGAGAAGAAUCAGGAGGUCGCGGGAGGGAGGAAGGAUGACUCACAUGGCGACUGGCGGAGACCGUGGACGAACGAACGAAGUGGAGGAGGAUCAGAUCCGAUGCUAGGGUUGGGGGGGGAUUGGAUUUGGGGGGGGAAGCGGAGCGGGGCGGGCGGUUUGCUGCUGGUACGGUACGGUAGAGACUAGACUGACCACGACGAGGUUGACGACGCCAACUGCUUCUGUUUGGGGGAAAUGGGCCAUUGACUUGGGUCUUUUUAGGCCCAACGUUCGUCGGAGACAGCCGAAUUCAAUCAGACUUGGGCCUCUUCAGUACUCACCGGCCCAGAUUUUUUUACAUUAUUUUCCUUUGCUUUUUUUUUUAAAAAAAAAAAAGUAACUCAGUUUGCUCACCGUGCAGCAGCAGCAUCAUCAUCAUCGCCUGCUGCUGCCUGAUUCAUCUGCAUCUAGUAGUUACCUAAUUAAUGAACAACAGGUCGGGGUUGUGAUCUGUGAUUCCAUCUACGCCGCGCCAAUAAUCCCUUUUUUUUCAGGUUUGCUCACAUGGGGAUCAUCAUUGUCACAGUUGGGAGGAGGAGGAGCAGCUGCAGCAGAUCCGAUCCGAUCCAUGAUCCAUCCAUGGCCAUGAAUAUGAAGCCAUCCUCGUCAUCGGAGGAAAGAACACGGCCCGCCUUUCCGAUCCAUCGUGCAAGUCAAGUUCUGGCAGUGUGGAGCACGCAGCGUCAGGCAGCUAUAGCUGUUCUUCGCUGGCCCUGCUGCUGGGAGGGCGGCGUGCCCAGCCCACCGUGUCAUGCAUGGGCGAUCAUGGUCGCCGUCCGUCCGGGUCCUGCUCCUGGUGACCACUUUGAUUAGCGCACAAAUUGCCGCCUGACAGUGUCAUUAUCAUUCCGUACGUACACCAUUGAUCCCCAGCAUAUAAAACUUUAAUAAAGUCGGUAGUACAUGUAUAUGGGCUCACUAAAUCCGUAUCAGCACGCGUGUGCCACUACCACUAGAGAUGUGUGCUCAGCUGGAGUACUCUAGUUUAUUAUUAUUAUUAUAGUUCCAGGUCAUAUGAUCCUGGACCCAAAUCGCAUUAAAUUUGUUGCAACUGCAUGCAAGGUGUUGCUCUUUAAAAGCAAUUAUAUAUAUAUAUAUAUAUAGUAAUAAAAAAAGGGGAAAAAUAAGGAUCUGGAAGCCGGCCCAGGCGCAAAAGGACCGGUCCAGCGAGGAAUGGGUUGGGCUUGCUGGGUGCACCUCCACGCUAGUCCAGCCGCACAAAUGGGCCCGCCGCCAUCUCGCUCCAUCGGACGGGUCAGCUUGCUCCACGUAGCCCAUCGGAAGGGAAGGCCCUUUCCUUUUUUUUUUUCCCUUGCCAGUGCCAGGUAUGCUGCUUCAUAUUAUACCCCUGCGCCCAAUUUGGAAUCUUGGCCAAUCGAUCGAUAAUAACAAGGACAGAUGAUUCGUGACCCACGCUUCUUCCUUGAUUGUUUGGUUGCUUUAGUUGAAGGCAUCAUCAUCAACUAGCUGUGCUGUGCAGCUCGUCGGCUCUAGCUAGAUGCCAUGUGGGUUAUGCAUGAGUUUGUUUCGUGUUGCACAUUUUAGCCUAUAUGUUUGCUGGUUUCAUCGACUUCAAGUUAAUCUUUGAAAGAGAGCAUACAACGUAAAAUAUUUUUCUAGAAACCGGAGCCAUUUUGUGAAGAAAAACUUCUCCCAAAUGUGACGCCUUACUAUUACAUUACACCUCUUUAGUAGAGCUUUGGCCAGUCCUAGCUACUAGGCCCUAUGUGUACUAUAGCAAUGAAUUAUUUGUAUCUCUUUUGUCAAACCGAACUAAGAUUGGGCGAAUAGUUUUACUAGCUCUGACUUCUCGAUCUAAAUAUAUAUUACUAUUUUGUUUGAAAUUGUAAGUCAUUUUGACUUUUAUAAAUUUAGAGUUUUUACUAUAUAUCUAGACAUAGUAUGUAUGUAUGUAUGUAUGUAUGUAUGUAUGUAUGUAUGUAUGUAUCUAUGUGUAUAGCUAAAUCUAUUAUGGAUCUAGAAAGGCUAAAAUGACUUAGAACUUGAAAUGGAUGAAAUAAUUCAUUACAAAAUAGUUGCUUCAUCCUAUUGCAAACCUUGAUUGGCCUUGUUUGGAUCCACAUAUAUUGAUCCAUAAUGCACAUAUAUUAGAGUUGAUUGAAAUGAAACUUAGUUUAAUUUCACUUCAACAUAUGUGGAUUGAGGUACAUACACAUACAUGUAAACAAGAUCUUAUAUAAUUUAUCUUACAACUCUUCUCUAUGCUUUAGAUCGAUAUAACUCAUCACAAAAAUAUGUACGCGUCUUUGGUCAUUAAUUCCUUGCAUCUAUUUAAUGAAAGAGACCAAUCUUAUCUUGUAAAUAAAUAAAGGCAUUAUUUGAUGGAGCUCCAAAAAAGUUAGGUAUUUGUACCUUCAUGAAAAGUUGCAUUUAGAGUUAAGGACUUAAGGUACAACGAGGGCAUUUAGAUAAUUCAUUUUCCUACUGGGUACAAUUAUUUAAAUAUCUAGAUCUAGAGCAUAGGCAUCAAUCACCGCUCGAUGUACUAAACAAAUGGCAUCAAAAGUUUUUCUUAAAAAAAUGGCCUCAAAAGUAACCACACAAAAAGUUUCAGGAGUAGUUAGUGGUGACAUUCAUAGAUAAAAUCAUCUCAAUCACUUCUAAUUUUCCUAGAUAUAGCCUAACAUAAACAAGAACACAAAAAAGAUCGUUUAAGGAAAAAAAGUACACCUGCCUAUACAAAUAAAAAAAACUGUACCAUUUAAACCAUUUUGCAAUCAGAAUUCAGAACUAGGCAGAAACUACUCCUUUUUUUUUGUACUAAUGUUUUUUAAAUUAAUUUUCUCCCACCCGGAUGCGCAUAUAAAAACCGCCGAAACCCUUGGCUCUCCUCACUUGACCACCGCAACCACUUCUCCCCUGUUUCCUCUCGUGCAUUCUCCGUGGGAAGCGAGGAGGACUCGCGGCCGGCGGCAGGUUCUGCUAGAUCUCCGGGUAAGUGUUGAAAGAAAAGAAAAAUUGUUGGAGGAAUUAAUUCCGAAUCUUUCUCCAUUGCGAUUUUGGUGUCUAGUCUGAAACGCGCAGUUCAUCCCAUUCCUGCCCACAGUAGAUCAGAUCCGAUUUGCUCCUGCGGCAGGCAUUGCGAUUGCUGGGCCCUGGUUGCCGAUUAGUUAUCGACAUAAACCGCGGCCAAGCCCCCCAAGAAGUUCUUGCGGGGUGACAAGAAGAAGAUAAACAGUUUGGCCAUCUCGCCUCGCAAGGAUAACCGCCCGUUAAUGCAUUUUUGUUUCUUGAUUUCUGAAUAAACAUAGGUAUUAUUCGAUUUCUGGAUAAUAGAGUGCCAUUAACUGGUCCCUGCAUAGCGUGGUAUUGGUUACAGAAACUGUGCCGGUUCUGUAGAUUUAGAUGAAUCACAGUGUCAAGAGAGACAGGAUUCACCUGAAUCCUUCUGUUAAAUUAGAAAAUAGACAUGAUCCAAGGUCCUGUGAUUUCUCAGUGAGUAGUCGUGUAGAGUUUAUUUAUUUUGGUCCUGUUUCCUUUGCUGAAAAUGCAGUUAAUACCAAGUUUUCUGCUGUUUCCUAUUAAGAUAGAUACUCUGUUACUGAUUUUUACCCUUUGGCUCCUCCUUGUGUUUUUGUUCCAGAAUCUGUAGCAAAUGGCUGACGGCGAGGACAUCCAGCCCCUUGUUUGUGACAAUGGAACUGGCAUGGUCAAGGUUUGUAGUUCUUGUUCAUGCUGCUACUUCAUAUUCAGCAAUCUUGUUCUGCUAAUUUUAAUAACACGCUUUCUUAACUUUUGGCAGGCUGGUUUUGCUGGUGACGAUGCGCCAAGGGCUGUUUUCCCAAGCAUUGUUGGACGUCCCCGACACACUGGUGUGAUGGUUGGCAUGGGGCAGAAGGAUGCGUAUGUUGGUGAUGAGGCCCAGUCCAAGAGGGGUAUCCUGACUCUGAAGUACCCAAUCGAGCAUGGUAUUGUUAGCAACUGGGAUGACAUGGAGAAGAUCUGGCACCACACCUUCUAUAAUGAACUCCGUGUUGCGCCUGAAGAGCACCCUGUGUUGCUGACCGAAGCCCCACUCAACCCCAAGGCUAACAGGGAGAAGAUGACCCAGAUCAUGUUUGAGACCUUCAAUGUUCCUGCCAUGUAUGUCGCCAUCCAGGCUGUGCUUUCCCUGUACGCCAGUGGACGUACAACUGGUAAUGAUUCGUUCACAUGGUGACCAAAUUUCAUUAGGACCUCCAAUUUUUUUAGCGCAAAGGACCUCCAAAAUUUUCACUCUUAAUUAUGGAUUGCUGUGGUUCAUUCAGGUAUUGUGUUGGACUCUGGUGAUGGUGUGAGCCACACGGUGCCAAUCUAUGAAGGUUAUGCCCUUCCUCAUGCCAUCCUGCGUCUCGACCUUGCUGGGCGUGACCUGACUGACAGCCUGAUGAAGAUCCUCACUGAGAGAGGUUACUCCUUCACCACCACUGCCGAACGGGAAAUUGUAAGAGACAUCAAGGAAAAGCUCGCGUACGUGGCUCUUGACUACGAGCAGGAGCUGGAAAGCGCCAAGAGCAGCUCAUCUGUGGAGAAGAGCUACGAGCUGCCUGAUGGUCAGGUGAUCACCAUUGGGGCAGAGAGGUUCAGAUGCCCUGAGGUCCUCUUCCAGCCUUCCUUCAUUGGUAUGGAAGCUCCUGGCAUCCAUGAGACCACCUACAACUCCAUCAUGAAGUGUGAUGUGGAUAUCAGGAAGGACUUGUAUGGUAACAUUGUGCUCAGUGGUGGCACGACCAUGUUCCCUGGUAUCGCGGACCGUAUGAGCAAGGAGAUCACUGCCCUUGCCCCGAGCAGCAUGAAAAUCAAGGUGGUGGCACCGCCUGAGAGGAAAUACAGUGUCUGGAUAGGAGGAUCCAUCCUCGCCUCCCUGAGCACCUUCCAACAGGUUAAAAAACUUGCACUUUUUUGUUUGUUUCCAGUUGCUAUGGCAAAUAUUGCAACCGUUCAGUAGUUCUAGUAUUUCUUUGUACUGAAAAAAUAUGCUCUGGUAUUAUUUUUGUACAGAUGUGGAUCUCAAAGGCUGAGUACGAUGAGUCAGGACCCGCGAUUGUUCACCGGAAGUGCUUCUAAGCUUAAGGCCCAUCCCCACUUCGGCUCCAUUUAUGUAUUCCUUUCCAGCGAGUGCUUUUCAUGUAAGCUACUAUGUUUGAGAUUGCCAGCCUAUUGAGGAGGCAAUGUUGUUGGAUUUAUAUUUUGUGGCUCACUACAAUGCCAUGCAUUGCUCCAGCUCCUUUCCAUGCCAAGUUUGUUGCUAGUGGUGAAAACAUCAACCACAAAAAAAGAGGUCGGAAAUUAUUAAGGUACCUAGGAUCAUAUUGUAAUUGUACUUGUGCGAGUAACAUUAUUGGUUCUCUUUGUACAUCCAUCUCUGAGACAUGCAAUGCAAUUUGUUUGAUUGGUUGCCGCUUCUGUGAAUGGUUUUUUGUUGCUGGUUGCAACAUUGUUGUCAUUCCACAAAUUUGAAGUUUUUGAAUGGCAACAUCCCUGGGAUUACCUUUGGGCUGCUUGUGAUGAGUCCCCAGAUAUGUGGAUUUCUGAUUGCUGAAUCUCAUGUGCUGCUGCCUGCUAAAAGUUGUUCCCAUGUUACUGGUAAAAGGUACCGCAGCUGAGUGCAUGAAUUCAGGAACAUGGGUUGCCGGUUGCCCUGUGCUGUGCCCCAGUCCGAAUGUCUGCGCCUAACAUGGGCAGGGCUGCUGCGGCUUUGGCAGGAAGGGACCAGACCAUUUGCUCCUUCCAGCUUUGUUUCAGUACCCACGGAGUGAUUAUUACUAUGCUCUAAAUAAAUGACACCUUUUAAUUGUGGCUUUUGAUGACACCUUUUAAUUGGGGCUUUUGAUUGCAAUUACAUUUGAUACUAAUAUAGUGCCAAUGCUAACACCACAGCUUCAUUUGGGGAUGCACAUGAAGAUUGGGGAUGCAUGUGAAGAUAACCAAACAACGAUAUUUCUUCCAUAGUUUUAAGUCUCACGCUAUGAUCCAUUGCUCAGCUUCCUCAAAAAUAUCAUCGAUGAUCCAAGGCAUUGAUCUCCGCUGAUUUUGAAAAAAAAACAGGUUGUAUUCAUUAUAAUAUGUUUAUCAAAUGCUCUUAGUUACGUCAUUUCAUACAAACUUAUGUGACUAUAGCAACAUAGUACCUAAUUCAUGCCAAAGCAUGUACCAUUUGUUACACUUGGUAUGAGCAUUUCCAGCUUCCUUGCUGCCAAAGAUUCUAAAUGAUCGUGCAUUAUUGCAGAGAAGGUUUUGCUUCUAAAUGAUCGUGCAUUAGUGCGGAGAAGGUAUGGGUGUUGGUAAAUGUGCCUCUCCCAUUUACUCAUAUUUUUUCAGGUGUAUUUACUUGAUAAAGUUGGUAAAUAUUGUUGAAAACCCAAACCAACUUUUGGUUUGCAAAGAAAGGGACUAACUUAACCAGAUACUGCUACAUACUUUUCAUCCUUGCUUUCGACAGACUCACUAUCAAGAAGGUGUGAUACUGACGUUGGCUCUAAUGGGACUACAAUUCAAUUCUAGGCGAAAUCAUGACGGCCCAACUCCAUUAGGCUCGGCCUAGCACAGCCGCCGCCAAGAGCCCUUGAAACGAUGGGAGGCGGGUUGGUGACUUUGGUGGACCAACAGAGGGCAUAUUAAAAUAGCCCACACGCCAGGGCUAGGGCGCCACACGCGCAUAGCGCAACGCACCCGCCCACAGUUUCAACCCACCACUGUGCCUGACACGUGGGUCCACGAUUUCUCACCCCACAUGUUAAGUGGCCGGACAAAGGCACCCCGACAAUGCACAACACGACAUGGUGCGUCGUUUUCAAUUCAUGCUCCAACCUUUUCGUUUAGUUUAAUGGUUUUUUAGUCAUCCGUUCUCCUCCGUGCUCCAGCCUUUCCGUCUAGUUUAAUGGUUUUUAGUCAUCCGUCCUCCUCCGCUCUUUGUUGCCAACCCCAGGAACAACCCUGCCUAGGCCUAGGGAAGGACCGAAAGGGAGGUGCGCGGCUGGUGGUGUGCGAAUGUUAGCGGCGUUGCAGGAGUGCGGAACUCUUCUUGUUGCCGAGCAGGCGCUCCGUGCCACGACGAUGAGCUUGUCCACCCGCUUGCUUUUUGGGACAAGGUGUGUUGUCUUUGUGUGUAGUUGUUGUCCUUUUGUUUUCCUCUUAGCGCCGUUGCGCACUUGCGGUGAGGCCAAUGUGCUCUUGCUGGUUGGGGGAGAUCAUAGAUGGAAUAGGUUGUAGUGGGAUUCUUGCUCUACUGGUAAGCUGCUUGAUUAUAGGACUGCCAGCGUCGGCGCAAAUUUGUUUUUGUCGAUUGUAGGGGGUUAGGGAAAUCGAUAGGUGACGAAGUUUGUUCUUCCCCUUUGAUUGAAGCUUCGUGAAGUCUCAAUUAUAUAGGGCUUGAGAUCUAUUAGGACUAGCGAAGUAAUGGUUUUCUAGUGGUGAUACUGGCUAUACAAUUUUGAUAUAUUUGGAUAUAUCCGCUUAUCCCAGUGUGAAUUUGAUGUUUGCUAUAUUAUUGUUAUCCUAAAUAAAAUUAUUAUUAAAUAUAGAUGUCUCUCUUGGAAAGAAAAUUUGUGUUUUGGUUGUGGGGGAAGAGCAACUCCCUAUUCCCCGUUAUUGGUGGCAGACAAAAUGUUAUAAUACUAUGUGUGUAAAAUAUUUCCCUUUUAACAUUCACAAUAAUAUAAACUUUAAAAUAACUAUGAAAUAUUUUAAAACUAAAUAUGUGAUGACUAAUUUCAUAACUUUUGAUAACUCACAUGGUGACUGAGUAUGCAUGGAAUAAACACAAGUCUAUAUACGUAUUUAUAGCUUUACGGUGGCAACCUUCAACAAUUUUUUAUAUGUUAGAAUAUUUCUCAUAUUUAUCUAUUCUCCAUAUAUUCUUAUUACACAAAAUAUCAAGAUCUAGAGUGUUCCAUAUUGUUUGUGUUUAUCUAUUGCCUAGAUAUUUCUCAUACAAAAUAUCCGUAUAUAAAGUAAGUCUAAAGUAUGAUAAUUACUUCAAUUUAUCUGAAAAGUUUCUCACGUCGAGUUUCUUGUUUUAUAAGAUAAUAAGAAGGCAAAUAUGUCACACCCCUAACAUUUUUCUAAUAUGAUCAUAUUUCUUUCUUCUUAAUAAAUAUUGUUUUUUUCUAUUCUAGAAGUUGUUUCUAACCCAAAAUAUAUUCUACUAUAAAGGGCUAAGUAAAAAAUGUUCUACUUGUAGAAAGAAACCAUUUGUUCCAUAAAGAACAACUAGUGCCAUGUAAGAGUAGCAACAUUUCUAAUUUAUUAAUUAUGCAGUACUGUUACUUAUACAAUACUUUUUUUGAAUGCAUAAUUGUUUUUAUGGUUACACUGUUUCUAUUCCUAUCAUGUUAUGUCAAGCCUUCGCUCUUGCCUCAUAACUACGUAUAUCUUUUCAACUUUGUAUACCUUCGUUUUGGGUUGGAGCCUUUCUAUGGACUUAACGCCACUAUAUGACUCUAUUGUCUUUGUGCCUUGUGAAUAAUAAAAAUUUGAGUAGCCAGAUUUGUUUAAGGUUGAUAAAGUGUGACAAUUCUAACACACGAAAGUAUUUUGUAGUAAAAUCUUUAACCUUGUUACAACAUAAAAAUCCUUAGUAAAUUAUAAAAUCAAAAGAGAGUAAUAGGAAGACGCAAGUUUUUCAGGACAUACUGAAGUAUCAAUACUCUUUAAUAGUUCUUGUUGGAGCAUGAUUUUUUAAUGAUUUCAUACUAUUUUUUUAUUGACGAUAGCAAUGUUUUUAGUUCAUGGAACUAUUGUUUCACGUUUAGCAGCAAAAAAAUAUUUCAUAUUUAUUUUGGAAAUUGUCGCAAAGCAAAAUUUAUUUUUAUCUUAUAAACAAAGUUAGUAUCUUAUUGGUUUGUGAAACUAGUAUAUGUUUUUGUGAAAAUGGCUUUUAGCUUCAAUAUAAAAAUAUUAAACUUUAAUAAAAUAUAAAAAAGUUCUAUUACUUAUUUACAAUCUAUGUACUAUAUAUUUAGGCUUUGUUUAGUUUCAAAAUUUUUGGCAAAAUAAGCACUGUAAUAUUUUCAUUUGUAUUUGACAAAUAUUGUCCCAUCAUGGCUUAACUAGGCUCAAAAGAUUUGUCUCACGAAUUACAGACAAACUGUAUAAUUAGUUAUUAUUUUUAUCUAUAUUUAAUGCUAUAUGCAUGUGGAGCAAGAUUCCAUGUGACGAGAAAUCUGAAAAAGUUUAUAAAUUUUUUUAGAAACUAAACAAGGCCUACUAGCCACUCAUAGCGUCUAAUGAAGAGAAUAGGUAUGAAGUUUCUGUUGUGUUAUUUAAAACAUAUGUUUUACUAGCUAUAGAUAGUGUCCAUGAAGAGAGUAGAUAUAUGGAAUCAACGAGAAUGAAAAUUUAAAAGGGAGAGCAAGAAAAUAAAAAUAAAAAUAAAACACAAACUUUCAAAGAAACUGAAAAAAACGGCCAACGAGAAGCCCGUGCGUUUUUUUUAUUCCGCCGUCGAUGCUUCCGUCUUCCCCUUCCGUCCGCUGCGGCGCUGCAUCCCUCUUCCCUCCUCCGCCUCCUCUCUCUCUCUCUAGCUCUAGCUCUAGCUCUCUCUCUCUCGCGCGCGCUCCCAGACGACUGUUGGCUCGCCGCCGCCCCAGGCCAGGUGCUGAGGCCUUUCUUGGCCUCUUCGCCGGCGACGAGCACCCACCAGGCACCCCUUCUCUUCCCUUCCCUGUACGAAGGUGAGCACCGAAACCCUAACCUAAAGCUAUUUAGCUAUUUGAUUGACAGUCCUCCUUACUUCGAAGCUUUUGCAAAAAUUAUUGGGUGUUCAUGUGUACACCCAUGUCCGUUUACUGGAUCCGCCCCUGCCCUUUAUGUUCACCUUUAGAUGGUUGGCAACCCAUUUAGGAGGCUAGUUUGUUGUCAACAAACCCAUUGCUGAAGCACGAAAAGACUGCUACCACUAGCCAUAAGUAUCACCACACUAAUUUUGUGGAAAUUUUCAGAUAGUGAAGCCAGUCACUUACUCACUUCUCAAGGUCUCAGUGUUAUAUCAAAAUGACAUCUUUGAUGGCUAGGUGAACAAAUGGUUCUGUUAUAUAAGUCAAUACAGCUGAUUUGGCGCGGAGCCGUGUUUGCCCUGUGUAUACAGUUCAGAAUUGCACAAUGUCCUCUUGCAGUCCCUGCAAUGUUUCCUUUUCAUGCUGCUGCACUCAUUUGGUUACAAAUUUAUGAUAUCAUCAAUGCCAUCAGGAAGAUUUGCUGUUGUAUACCACUGUGCAAUUUAUCUCUAGAGAAAUAUGGUACUUAAUUGUGUCAUCAAAUUCCACAUUUUCCUUUGACCUUAGGUGAUCCUGCUAAAAGUUUGAACUCUGGUUUUGCUGUGUGGUUUCACACAUCAAAAAGCGAAAUAUGCAAGAAGUGGAUUUUAAAUUUCAUCCCAAAUUGCGUUUUCAGGUGACACCAUGAUAUUGAUGUGAAGUUUUGUGGCACUUCCUGCAUCCCUUAUAUGGUAUUAACAAGGUUUUUAAUUGUCUGGGUGAUCCAUUUAUCAAAUGGAAGGCAACGACCUACCCCCUGGAAACAUGUUGCAAGGGGUUCCCUAUGAUACUUUAGACUUACGUGGCAGCUCUAUGCAAAAGCAUACUCCAAACUCAGGAAAACAGAUCUUCAGUAGCUCCCAGAUGCCGGGGACUUUCACAAUGUCUAUGAUCAGGGCUACAGAGCCUGAUGACUUUCCUGGCUUUCAGUUCAAAGAACAUGGAAAGAGUGAUGACCACCACCACCAACACCAUAGUCAUCACUCAAAGAACUGCAAAAGUGAUGGCGAGGAACAUGAUGUGGCUGAAGAUGCUAUUGAUACCCCAAGUGGCAAAGGCAAGAAGGGCUCUGCAUGGCAUCGGAUGAAGUGGACAGAUUCAAUGGUAAAACUUUUGAUUACAGCAGUGUCUUACACUGGGGAUGAUCAUGGUGCUGAUUCCGGUGGUGGCAGGAAGAACUUUACAAUAAUGCAGAAGAAGGGCAAAUGGAAGGCGAUAUCGAAGGUUAUGGGAGAGAGAGGCUGCCAUGUGUCACCGCAACAGUGCGAGGACAAGUUCAAUGACCUUAACAAGAGAUACAAAAGGCUGACAGACAUCCUUGGUAGGGGCACUGCUUGCAAUGUUGUGGCUAAUCCAGCACUUCUUGAUAGCAUGAAUCAUCUUUCUGAUAAGAUGAAAGACGAUGCAAAAAAGAUACUUAGUUCAAAGCACCUAUUCUAUGAGGAGAUGUGUUCCUACCACAACAACAACCGUGUAAAUUUGCCUGAAGAUCAUGCACUUCAGCAUUCACUACUGCUUGCCCUUAGGUGUAAAGAGGAGCAUGAUCCUCCGAGGGAUCCAAGUGGAGAUGCUGAUGAAGACGAUCAAAGUGCAGAUUCUGAUUAUGAGGAGAACGACGAAGAGCAACAUCCUGUGCAUACAACUAUGAUGGAAGCCUCAACGCACAAAAGGAAGCGUCACAGUGAUGUGCCUUUGAUCACAUCAAGCUCUCAUGAAGGAAGUGAGAGGUCUGAUCCCCAUGGUGUCACAGUGGACAUCAACAAGACUUUCACAGAUGCAACCAACAUGAUUUUGUUGCAACAAGACUUGGCUUCACAAGCCAUAGAGAUUCAGAAACGUCGCUUGCAGAUUGAAGCGAAGGAACUGGAACUCGCAAAGCAACGUCUCAAGUGGGAGCGGUUUAGUAAGAAGAAGGACAGGGAGAUCGAAAAAAUGGCAUUGGAGAAUGAACAUAUGAUGAUUGAGAACAAACGCUUGGAACUUGAGCUGAGACAUAAGGAGUUACAGCUAGAUCUUAAGCUGAAAGGCUAGGGGAACCAUCUGUAACUUUUGCUUAAUCAACACUCAAUAUGUAAGAUGGUAAACAAGUAAGUGGGCUAUUGAACUAUCUUUACUAAGGAAAGGCUUUAUAUUCAUCAUCUUGAGCAGCUAUUUUUUUUUUAUUUGAACCUUUUCUGUUUUAAUUUGCUAUAUAUGGAACUCAUUCUUGUUUGUGUUUUCUGUUAAAAGUGCAUCAAUGUUUGUCAAUGGAGGGAACCAAAAACAUGUCAUUAGUUUUAAGCUAGGUGAUUCCUAACAUUCUGCUCAUAUUGGAUUUGCAUAUAAGAAAAUUAUUGCUUAAUCAUCAGCAUGUGAUUGUUUGCAUUUCCUGUAUCUAUGCUAAUUACAGUCAUAUAAAUGCUAUAGGAAUAACAGACUAGUAGCAGGUAACCCUGCGCUUUGCGCGGGGGUGGAGGUACGAUUUCUUAGCGUGCAGAAACAAAUAAAGGCUGAGCAAGAAUGGUAUCCAAAAUUCCAAAUCAACAAAAGAGAAAAAGGAGAGUGACAUAAUAGGGUAAGAUCAAUAAUUGAGGUGUUUUGGUGGCCGAUAGCCCAAAAUCAAGAAUCAGCUGCAAUUAGUAAAGCAGCUGACCUGAAAUUAGCAAACCUAAUUCAAAAGACUUAAAAAAAUUUCAGGUGAGAUUUACUUUUGUUAAGUUAAAUCUUGACCUCAAAUUGAGAGCCAAGGGAGUCAGUUAAACAUCAAAGUACCUAGAUUGGAAGAUAUAGCGAACACUAUGCCAAAAUGUAUGCAUUGUAGAAAGGUGCAGGUAAUCAGUUCAGACAUGCAUUUCAGCUAAACCCAAUCAUUGAAGCCAAAAUAGUCAUUUGGAGACAAACGGCAGGAUAGACAAUAUAGAUUCCUUAAUGUACAAUAUUGAGCAAAGUUUAGAAGGCCAUAGUUGGAUACAUAUUAUUUCUGAAGUAUCUUCCCAAUUUUUCUGCCUGUGCAAUCAAUCAAAAGCAUCCAGGAGAGAAACAGAGCAUUAUAAGUGUUACUCAAAAUAAACCACCAACUCAUCGGGAUGUAAGAAACAGAGUAUUCAACUUAUGAAACAGAUUAGUUUCUCUCCCCUCUUAAGCAGAAUUAGUGUAAGAAAAUAUAAGAUUAGAUUGUUGUACAGGCCUUAACUUAUUUAACAGAGCAAGAGGUGUUUCGUAGGGAUGUGGAAAAGUCGCUGACAUAUUUUAGUGACCUCUCUUUUCAUCAGAGGCUGCAAAAUUUUACCAUGAAAUUUGCUUAGUGCUAGCUAUUUUGUUAGCAUUAAAACUGUGCAGAAGCAGUUGUGACAGAAGAACUGCUAUUUUUAGCAUAUUGAUUGAUAUGGCACACUGUCAUGCGAGCAGAAAAUGGGGGAUAUGUAUUAGUAGCAGUAACACCAGAGUUGGCAUUGAAGAUUGUAACGGUAUUACCAAUCUAAAUCUCAGAUACUAAAUGAACAGGAAGCUGCAAAAUAUUGUCAGGAAACUUAACAUGGAAGAAUAUGUUAACUACAAUUUAAUAAAGCAUCAUUUGGUAGCCCUGCAGGAAAACACAGGAUCAACAUGGAACUAGUUUUUUUUUUCUCUAUGUCAAGAGAGUAAAUAAAAAUUUGGCAUUGCGGUAUUAGAGAGGUAAGAUGACCCUUUUUUCUUCUAUGAAACCUUGUAGCGGCCGCUGAAUGAGGAUGUUUCAGUAUAACAGAAAUUGAUUCUGCAAAUAAAUAGUGAAACUAAAGUUAGAAGGAAAUAAUAGGGAGGAGGUAAUGAUGAACUUCACAAAGCAAACAUUUGAAUGAUCUGGAUGCAUGCAAUCUUACAUGAACAUGAGUGACAAUAUUUUUUAAGCACCUGGAUUCAGUGAAUCAAAACGGCAUUAGUUUUUUUCUUGAGGAAAAAAUGGCAUUGGUUAAGCAUUCCAAAAUGCUCUGGAGUCCCAAGCGCGUGCAGAAGCAGCAAGGUGGAAAAUUUGGCUUCAAUCAAGCUAACCCGCUGCAGCUGCGACAACGCUUGGGCACAGGAUGAGAGAAAACUUACCGAUGUAGCACAAGGUCCAUAGGAGAUGAAAUCUGAUGCAGGGGCGUGAUGCUACCCUGACUUCACAAUGCGUGUGCAUGAUGUACUUGUUGGUUAUUGGGGAUGAUCAGACAUCCUUGCCGCUUUUGGCAGUGACCAGUUCGAUAUGGUAACAUCCAUUACCAUUUACACUUAAAUUGGAAACUCAAUGGUUCUUAAAUUGAAAACUCUAUGGUCCCUUGCGAUGCUGGAACAGUUGUAGAUGUGACAUAGUAUGUUAUCUUUUAUGUGAGUUGUUUGGGAAUCACCGAAUCAUUUAUCUAGGAUUUGCUACCAUUUUUUGUGUUGGUUCCUCUACCAGUUGUACAUAUUACUGUGCAAUAUGUAUCUUCCUACUUCUGUUUGAAUGAAUCAUGGGUUAAGCAUUCUUCAUAACUAGCAACAGGAUCUUGUUCAUUAGCUUUGCAAGAAGUUCCAUAGUUGAGAUCUCGAAGACCCUAGGUUGUUUAUGCUUGUUCUUAUGGGUACUGAAAGCUCAAACAAUGUAAUUUACAUGGUUAGGGAUUAAUUUAGUCCAAGCUUAUUAUUGAAGGCUUGGUGAUUUGUUGCUUAUUGCUUACUUUAACCACAUGCUGGUUGUCCUGUGCUUUGAUGGUGAGUACUAACACUCAUUCUUUUUCUGUUGUUUCAGGUAGCGGUUGAGCUUCUGGAAUCUGGAAGAGAGGUGGUAGAUUAGAGUAGACUCUGACAACCAUUGCUGUGCGUAUGACUUUGUUCUGUGUUCUUCUGUCUGUGAGAUGUACUUGUUGGGCCUCCUGCUCUCCGCGACAGUAGUAUUGUUGGGCUUGAUGUGAUCUGUAAGACUGUGACUUCCAACUUGCCUAGCCAAUUUUUUUUUUCUUCAGCAUGUAUAUCAAGGUGAUGUUAUUUGGCUUUGGCCACCUCUGAAGCUUUCAUGAAGGUAGUGAGACUAUUGGGCCUAUUUAGUUUGGGUUAAACCAUUACUGCUAGAGUGCUAGUGAGACUAUUUUGUUAUGGCCUUGUUUAGUUCCGAAAAGUGAAAACUUUUCGGAACUGUAGCAUUUUCGUUUGUUUGUGACAAAUAUUAUCCAAUCAUGGACUAACUAGGAUCAAAAGAUUCAUCUUAUGAUUUACAGCUAAACUGUGUAAUUAGUUUUUAUUUUCGUUUAUAUUUAUUGUUUCAUGCAUGUGACACAAGAUUCGAUGUGACGGGGAAUCUUGAAAACUUUUUGGUUUUCAGGAUGAACUAAACAAGGCCUAUGUUUUGUGAGAGCUCUACUGGUCCCCAUGGCAUCACAGUGGACAUCAACAAGGCUUUCCCGGAUGGAACCAACUUGACUUUAUUUUCAGCAACAGGACUUGGCUUCACAAGCACUGGAGAUUCAGAAACGUCGCUUUCAGAGAUUGAAGCGAAUCAGAAAGAAAAAAUGAAAGGGAGAUAGAAUGGCACUGGAGAAUGGACAUAUCAAUAUUUCACAUGAGUGAGAACAAACGAUUCGAAAUUGAGCUGAGACAUACAAGGAGCUAGAGCUAGUGCUUAAGCUAAGCUAAAAGGCCAGGGGAAUCAUGCAUGACCUGUGGUUGAUCGACGCAUCCAUUUUAAAGGUGUAAAACCAGUUGCUGAUAGCGCAAGCUAAACCUGAGAGAAGUUCAGUAUCUUGAAAAAACUGUCCUUUGUAAAAAGACCGAGUUCCUUUCCCUGCUAGAUGUGCACAGGUUGUGUUCGGUUAUCUUUGUAUUGCAAAAGUGCGUCAAUAUUUCAUACCGGAGAGAACUAAACAAAUUAAACCUCGUGUUUUAGUUGGGCAGGUUUGCCGCCGCUCUGCUCCACUUUUUUUUAGUUUCGCUAGGGAACAACUCUACAAACUUUGCUCCACAUCCAUCUUUUUUAUUCUCGCUCC